GUGCGAGACCGAUAGCGAACAAGUACCGUGAGGGAAAGAUGAAAAGAACUCUGAAAAGAGAGUUAAAUAGUACCUGAAACUGUUGAAAGGGAAUCGUAUCGUUCCAGUGUCGAAUCCUUUGUAUAUAUCAUCGGCGGAUGUUGGUGUGUGCGUGCGUGUGCGAGUAGUUUAUUCUGCCGUGCUGUGUGUGCGCGCUAGUGUUUGCCGGUGCUCUGUGCAUUGGUGUGACGUCAAAGUCAGUUUGUACAUCGCGGGAAAUGGUUUGGUGGGGAGGUACCUCAGGUGCUUUUGUGCUUGGGCGUUAUACCCCGUUUUACUAGUAGUCGUGGUUGAGACUGAGGUGCCUAC
This 348-nucleotide ribosomal RNA is filed under the name uncultured Oomycota. Its description in RNAcentral is "eukaryotic LSU rRNA". It matches the Rfam family "Eukaryotic large subunit ribosomal RNA", at positions 326 to 618 of the family's 3401-position model. Lineage: Eukaryota; Oomycota. The record is from RNAcentral.